GAACAAUUACAUAACUGGUCUUUGUAAAAUCUUUGUGCAUUAAUUUAAGCCUGAAUGUGUUUGGUCUUCAAAAUACUCACUAAUGAAAUAUCUGUGUGUAAGCUAUGACAAAGGUUAUGCACUACUAACCAGCUGAAGUCUUUCUAAAACGUAUUUUCGUCAGUUAUAAUAAUCUUGUUUAUUUGUUUAUUUAUUGAUACGCCCGC
Molecule: long non-coding RNA, 206 nt
Filed under: Mytilus galloprovincialis (Mediterranean mussel)
Lineage: Eukaryota; Metazoa; Mollusca; Bivalvia; Mytilida; Mytilidae
Source: RNAcentral